AAUUCUUGCCUGGGUUUAACCAAGACCUAUGGUCUGAAAAACCAUCGUUGUAUUCAACUACAAAAAC
This 67-nucleotide transfer RNA is filed under the name Testudo kleinmanni (Egyptian tortoise). RNAcentral's name for it is "tRNA-Glu". The record is from RNAcentral. Lineage: Eukaryota; Metazoa; Chordata; Testudines; Testudinidae.